This 1032-nucleotide long non-coding RNA is filed under the name Equus caballus (horse). RNAcentral's name for it is "lncRNA (ENSECAG00000052351.1)". The record is from RNAcentral. Lineage: Eukaryota; Metazoa; Chordata; Mammalia; Perissodactyla; Equidae.
ACAAAACAGAGGGUAUUAUUUUACAAAUAUGAAACAGUAAUAUAUCAGCUAUGGAGGUCUGCGGGAGCCUAAAAACAUAAACUAGAAUAUUUUUAAAUCAUCUGAAAUCUCAUCAUACUGCCCUCUAGAUGGGUAUCAUUCCUGUCUUUGUUCCAGUUUAUUUAAAUAUGGAGAUAUUUGGACUCAGAGAAGAAAAGUAAACGCUCGAAGUCACAGAACUAGGAUUGAAGCCAGAUGUUCUUCAUUACAAAAGGAUUAUCUCUCUACGAGUUGCAAAUAUUUUUCCUGGUGUAUCAUUUGUCCUAUGGUUUUACAUGCUAUUAUUAUUACCCUGGAGAAUAUCCGGUGUUACCUCGACCACUUUUGAUUAAGAAAACUGCAGAAAGUUAGUAACUGCCACAAACGAACGCCAGGCGGUGGCCCGUGUCAAUUUUCCACAGAGUCCUGCUUUGCGGGGUGUCUGAAUGCACUGCUCGGGGUCUCUGCUCACACUUACUGGAAUCAAUCGUGGCAGAUUUUAGUCCACAGGUCGCUUUUCCCCAUAUUUCUUUGUAAACUCUUCAGCGUUCUUACAGAAAUUUUUACGGUCCUUAGAGUAUUCUUCAGCUAGGUCAGCCCGAAGCGGGUGCUCAGGCUGGGGGUCGUUCACCAGUGCUAUGAGGGACCGGAUUACUUGGUCGGUUUUGGUUGCUGGCUUCCAGUUUUCAGCACUAAUUACCGGCAGUCAGACCUGCCCCUUUUCAUCAAUGUUCGGGUGAUAGAUCUUUGUUUUAAAUGUGAUCUUCGGUGGUUUGAAUGGGUACUCUGCCGGAAAGUUGAUUUCGAUUCUGAAGGUCCCAUUGUCAUAUGGAGGGUUGUCAGGAACAAUAAGCCCUUGCCAAGUCAAUAAAUUAGCUUCAUCAAUCUGGAUGUUACGGAAGUUUUUCAUUCCACAUUUGCGGAUUUCUUCAAGCUCCUUCAUCAGCCUCCUGCUGGCCGCCAUCUUGGAUCUGGUGCUGCUAAAAUAACAAGAUAUUUUGAGGAAGAAGAUGC